AGGGCCUCCAGCUGGGGAGGAAGGGAAAACAGACAAAUGAGACUAGAUGGGUUUAAACAAGCUGACAUGCAGCUUGAAAUGCUGCUCUGAUAAGAAUAUGAUCUACCUCCUUUUGAUGUAAUCAGGUCCAGCUCCUGCUCUAAAGAGCUGAUGGUGCUCUGCAGCCCGGCCUCCAACUGCAGCCAGCGUGCCUCCUUCAGUGCCAGCUCCUCCUCCAUGCCACACAGCUGGACCUCCUGCAAAGACACACACCUUAUUGGUGGUAGUAGCAAUGAAGCAGAUAUAAAGAGCAAAAAAUCCUUCUUUUUUUUAAACUUACAACACCAAAAGAUUCUGCCAGUGGUGUAAGACGUUUCCUUGUUGUUUUGAAUGAAGUCUAACUUAACUAACAUACUUUUCAAGAGUAAAAAUGCUAGUAUGUUGAAAUAAGUCAUAGUAUUUCAUAACAUAACCGUUUUUACAACAACAGUUUACUUGCUAAAAUGUAUUUUUUGUGUGACAACACUGCCUACAAGUUAUACACUGAAAAACUUAAAUAUGAGCGAUUAAAUAAUAAUAAAAUGUGCUUUGACUUUACCUGCUUUUUUGUGUGCAGCUUGGUGGCGUCCAACUCUCUGGUUAAAGCCUCACAGUGACGGUGAGUUUCUUCAAGCUCUUUUAGUGAAUUCUGAAGUUUCUGCUGUGACAUGUGCAGCUGCUGGCCGAGCUCCUGAGACUCCUAAAAUGCAUGCACGUGCAUUUAUCAGCAUACAGUUUGAUGAUCUACAUUGUAACACAUCUCACCUCAGGUAAAUGUCUGAAUUCAUUUAAUCAUUCUAUGAACUGCUCUGAACUAAAAGAAUCAAGUUUUUAUGAUUUGCUUUUAACUUUUAGGAUAUGAUGUUCUUAAACAAUAGGUGUAAUAAAAUUAUUUAAAUGUGUUGAUUAUGUUGUUGUAGCCUACAGUUUAGUGAUUCAAGUGUGGGCUAUUUGACUUUAUUGAUCUGUAAUGAAAUAAAGCAAUUGUAAAAUUAAUAAACCCCAUAUACUAUAUAUUAUAUAUUUAUUUUUUAACUUUUUUUAAUUGCAAAUUAUGUGCCAAAAGAAAACCUUUGCCAACAUCUGUUUUAUCUAAUGAUAAAGUUUUCAGUCUGUUCAUUGCACUGUUUUGCCCAACUUCUUACUAAUCUCGCUGUCCUCUGCUGACCUCACCACAAAAAACUAGCCAUCCACUGGACCGAUAAAACAAUUGAUUGUAUUAUUCAGUUUUAAAUCAUGAAAGAUUAAUACUUAUCUGUGUAUAGAUGUAAUAUUGCCACGCAAAGUACAAUGCUGUACCCCGCCCCCCCCAACUGCACAGCCUCACAAUUUGCUGUGCUGAUUUUAAAAGGUAAUUUUCAAAGCGGCUUAUAGGACACCAGAUUAUGAUUUCUAUUAGACUCAAGUAGUAAGACAAUUAAAUAAGACAUUAUUUAUAGUUUUAUGAAGUUACAACAGAAAUUAAAUGCAAAAACCAGGUGUGUAAACAUUUACAAACCCUUUGUAUGAUCAGGGCUUAACUGUGUGGCUGACAGUGUUUGAUUAACAUCUAUUGUAUAGCCCUCAGAUCUCAUAUAACAGCUGACAGUAAACAGGGGCUGUAUUCACAAAACAUCCUAAGGCUAAAAGUAGCUCCUAACUGGCAGUUUAGGAGAAACACCAAAAAUAAGCAUAACCAUUUCUCUCAGUCCCUCAGCUAAAGUUGCUCUCAGCAGUUUUGUGAAUAUCUCCAAGAGGAAACUCAGUGCCAUUAUGGCUUUGCCAUUAAAAGAUGUUUUAUUUUUACUUUUGAUCUAUUUUAAUUUAAACUUUUAACUUACUUUUUUAAUUGUUUUUCAUUUAUAUAUUUUUUAACAUAAAUCAUUAUGAGCCACUGUGCAAUGAAAACUCAAAGGGUGUGAACAUUUAUGAUUGAACUUAAUCCUGCUCCAGAUAAUCCGGUUCUGUACUUUUCCAAGUGGUUCGUCUGGAAAUGUCUGUCAACGCGGAGCUGACUGACAGUGAAAACAUUUUCUCACGCUUUGCCUGCCUAUUCCGUGACUGUUCCUGACCUUCGUGUUUCUGUCUGUGAGCUCCCUCUGUGUGUCCCUCAGUUCUCUCUCUCUGGCUUCCAAGCUCUGCUGCAGGGACUCCACCUUCCUCUCCAUCUCCUGCUUGUGCUCUCUGAUGGCCACCUCCAGCUGACCCAGCUGAGAACAACGGGGACGGCCGGAGAAAAGAAACAAAGACAAUUUAAGAAAAUCAUAACAGAAAUUAGGGGAGAGACUCGGCAGCAAAACAUGUUCUUCAAAUUAAAUGAAGUGUACUAUUGUUUGUGUGCGUGUUGUACCAGCUGUGCUCUCUGCUGGAGCUCCCCCUGUCUUUCUUUCAGCGCACUGUCCAUGUCUAAGACCUCGUGAGUCCUCUCCUCCAACUCCCUCUGGGUCUCACUGUGAAGACACACACACACACACACACACACACACACACACACACACACGCUAUUUUAUAAAUAGUUUAUCAGAUACCUUAUCUAUUUAAUAUUUGUAAAAGUCACACUGGGUAACUUGAAGAAACAAGACUGGGAGUGUCCUCUGAACGGCAGGUCUGUGCAGAUCUGUGCAGAUCUGUGUUUGAUUCUUGCAGUGCCAAAUACAGUAACAUGAUUUGAAGACUUUAUAUAGGAGGCUAUUGUUAACCAUUUCUUAGGUUGUUCUUUGCUUUGGGUCAACAUGACUGAGGGUGUAACACAUUUCAGUGCCCUUGUGUGUGUAAAAGGGCUCAUGACUUUAACCUAGAUCUUGACAACUGUAUGUUUUUUUUAAAUGGUAUUUUCUGCCUCAAGCAUUGGCAUGAGAUUAGCACACAAGCACUCGUAAUCCCUGUACUCUGAAAGACAGCAACACUAAAUAAAAUCCAACAGGAAUGGAUGGAAUGUA
Micropterus salmoides (largemouth bass) is the source of this 2936-nucleotide long non-coding RNA. RefSeq lists it as uncharacterized. The transcript is spliced from 2 exons. The record is from RefSeq and is a predicted model, not a curated record. Lineage: Eukaryota; Metazoa; Chordata; Actinopteri; Centrarchiformes; Centrarchidae.